GUGAGAAAACAACCCUAGGGCCCUCGGGGGGCCAAAAAAUCAUGAAAAAACGGAGCUUACCGGCGGCGGUGCUCUCGGGUGCGGCGGCUCUCCGGUGAGGUUCGUGUUUUGGUGAUUCAGCUCCGGUCAACCUGUAGAGAAAAGAAUGGUGAUCACGGUGAUAUAAAAAUUGCAUCAAACGGAGGCCGGGAAGGGCCUCAUCGGAGGCAAAA
This 212-nucleotide long non-coding RNA is filed under the name Carica papaya (papaya). Its description in RNAcentral is "long non-coding RNA (CPAP_LNC006775)". The record is from RNAcentral. Lineage: Eukaryota; Viridiplantae; Streptophyta; Magnoliopsida; Brassicales; Caricaceae.